AGGUAGGCAGGGACGUCAUGCCGUGACUGAGCCUUCCGGAGUAUGAGCGGCGCGGGCGGGGGGAGCUGAGCGGACGGUGGGACGGCCGAGUCAUCGGCACACUAGUGCAGAUCCCAGUCUCAGCUUGCCGCUCCUGCAGUGCCGCACUAAAGGCCACCGACCACAUCCGUCUCCUCGUCCGUUGCACCGCCGCCCUCUGCCUCCUCCUCCGCUGCACCGGCGCUGCCCUCGGCCUUCUCUGCCGACAUCGG
This is a long non-coding RNA of Pseudophryne corroboree (corroboree frog), 251 nucleotides long. RefSeq lists it as uncharacterized. The transcript is spliced from 3 exons. NCBI's taxonomy places the organism in Eukaryota, Metazoa, Chordata, Amphibia, Anura, Myobatrachidae. The record is from RefSeq and is a predicted model, not a curated record.